CCUACGGGUGGCAGCAGUGAGGAAUAUUGGUCAAUGGGCUUACGCCUGAACCAGCCAAGUCGCGUGAGGGAAGACUGCCCUAUGGGUUGUAAACCUCUUUUGUCAGGGAGCAAUUGGCGCUACAUGUAGCGUUAUCGAGAGUACCUGAAGAAAAAGCAUCGGCUAACUCCGUGCCAGCAGCCGCGGUAAUACGGAGGAUGCGAGCGUUAUCCGGAUUUAUUGGGUUUAAAGGGUGCGUAGGCGGAAUGCCAAGUCAGCGGUAAAAUCGCGGGGCUCAACCUCGCUCCGCCGUUGAAACUGGCGUUCUUGAGUGGGCGAGAAGUAUGCGGAAUGCGUGGUGUAGCGGUGAAAUGCAUAGAUAUCACGCAGAACACCGAUAGCGUAGGCAGGUUACUGGGACGGUUCUGACACUAAGGCACGAAAGCGUAGGGAGCAAACGGGAUUAGAUACCCGUGUAGUC
Molecule: ribosomal RNA, 460 nt
Filed under: uncultured bacterium
Lineage: Bacteria
Description: partial 16S ribosomal RNA
Rfam family: Bacterial small subunit ribosomal RNA
Source: RNAcentral